GUAGUCUGCAACUCGACUACAUGAAGCUGGAAUCGCUAGUAAUCGCGAAUCAGAAUGUCGCGGUGAAUACGUUCCCGGGUCUUGUACACACCGCCCGUCACACCAUGGGAGUCGGAAAUGCCCGAAGUCAGUGACCUAAACCGAGAGGGAGGAGCUGCCGAAGGUGGAGCCGGUAACUGGGGUGAAGUCGUAACAAGGUAAC
Molecule: ribosomal RNA, 202 nt
Filed under: uncultured bacterium
Lineage: Bacteria
Description: partial 16S ribosomal RNA
Rfam family: Bacterial small subunit ribosomal RNA
Source: RNAcentral